UCCCACUGCCGCCGCGCGCGGAGCGGGGCCCCGGCCUCUCUGCCCCCGGCGGUCAGGGGCACCUGGCUCUGCCGGGGCUGUGUGUGCCUCGGGACGCGAAGAGCCAGAGCGCUCUCUAGAAGCAGCAGCAACACUAGGACUUCUCUCUGGAAGACUGAUGGCACUACCUAAGAAUAUGAAAAUUGGAACAAUAAUGUGCUGGAAUCUAGAGAUGUAUCAGUUGCUGGACAGCAUCCUCUCUGAUCCCAGAUACACAAUGAGAAGGCAAAAAUAAACUAACACAACUCCUUUGGGAGGGGUGACGUGGAGUUCUAUACCAUAACCUUCUAUCUGAUGAAGAACAAGUAUGGAGUAUGCCCACAAGUGCCACAUCAGUUUCACCUACCUGCUGGUCGUGGUGAAGAAUCAGCAAUGAUUAUAUGAGGGAAGGUUUCAUGGAACAUGGGUUACUUAUUUUGCCAAAUCAUUUAAGUACUUUUUAAAUGAUUAAUUUUCAAAAAAAG
This is a long non-coding RNA of Hyaena hyaena (striped hyena), 503 nucleotides long. RefSeq lists it as uncharacterized. The transcript is spliced from 3 exons. The record is from RefSeq and is a predicted model, not a curated record. Lineage: Eukaryota; Metazoa; Chordata; Mammalia; Carnivora; Hyaenidae.